Molecule: transfer RNA, 69 nt
Filed under: Acanthosoma labiduroides
Lineage: Eukaryota; Metazoa; Arthropoda; Insecta; Hemiptera; Acanthosomatidae
Description: tRNA-Asn
Source: RNAcentral
UUAAUUGAAGCCAAAUAGAGGCCUUUCAUUGUUAAUGAAAAAAGUGGUUAUUAAUUAAACCCAAUUAAA